Molecule: non-coding RNA, 67 nt
Organism: Dallia pectoralis (Alaska blackfish)
Lineage: Eukaryota; Metazoa; Chordata; Actinopteri; Esociformes; Umbridae
Source: the annotation of a GenBank genome assembly
AGAGUGGUAGAGUGGUAGUGCAUGCUUCAUGUGUGUGUUGUCCUGGGUUCAAAUCCCAGCUGCUCCC